AAUAUUUACUUUUAACAGACAAAAAUGAAUUAUAGGGCUAUAUACUAUCUUGAAAGUUUUUUGUUUUUUAGAACACAUACCUGAACUGAAUUUUAAAAAUGUGACCAAUCACAUCAAAUUCUUAUCUUUAUUAACAACAAGCUAAUAUGACUUAUAAAAUAACAUUUGUUUUAUGCAGACAUUGGUUAACUUUUCUUUUUUAGUUAGUGCUUUGUUUUUAAUGUUAUUGAGUAUCUUAAGCCACAUUUAUGCUAUUAUUUUUUAUGUUAAACCUUUCAAGUUAGUUGUCUGCUUUUGUUGCUUAUCUAUCUUAACUCUUUCAUCUUCCGCAACACUUUAAUAAAAAAUAAUUCCUUUUCCUCUGACAAAGUUAGACAUUUCACCUUUUCUCUGUUUUAAUGUCUGAUGUAAGCAAAAGAUAUUUCAUUGAGAAAUAACAAAGGCAUUGUUGAUAUUAAGAUUCUUUCAUUUAAUUGUUUUUAUAUAGUAUGUGGUUGUUACAUGAAAUGGGCCUACGAAUGACCCAAACUUAAUCCUGAUUUAUAAUUUAGAGAUUUCUUCUGCUACCAUGUAAUGAUCAAUGUGUUCAGUCUAUGUUCAACACUGAAGAAUUGAAAAAAAUAUGUAAUGUACUUACAGUCCUAGAGAGCUUAGAAAGAAGAAGCAUGGUGAAAUGGAGGACAUUAUGGAUCCUGAAGUCUCCUAGAUCUGGAUUCAAAUCCAUGAACUCUGUUAGAUUAAGUAAAUAAGCUGUCUCUGACCUGCUUUCACACCUCUUGUAUUGCUUUAAAUAUUACAUAAAAUAACCUGUGAAGUAUUUAGUAUUAUACAUAUUAGAUGCUCUACUUGUUUUAUAGUUUCUGUCUCACUCUUCAGGUAGGUAGGUAGACAGAUGAGUUGUUUAUAACUGCAACAGAAAAUGCAAGAAAGUAUGCUUAGAGAUAGAGAUCAUGAUUGCUUGGGAUAGUAAGGGAUUUUGGGGCAAUGGAUUGGUUUUAUGGCCCUAUAACAGACUUUUCCUCAGUGGAAUUUGGUCAGCAGGAUAUAAAAGUCAAUGAAAUGGGGGGAGGGGGGUGUGCAGGGGAAGGUUUGUGACCAAAUGUGUGGAAAACACUGGGGGUGUAGUUUGUGUAGCAUUUCCCAAAUAUCUUUGAUCUUUGUGCCAUUUGCCAUGGAACAUCUCUCAGAACUAAUGUUCCAAGAGAAACUUUGGGAAAUACCGUCUCAGAAGAAUAGUAUGUGAAUAAAAGAGGUGAGGGAUCAUUUGAUAUGAAGAAGAUGAGAUUUUAGAUAUUAGAAUUGAGCCAUAAUCUUAGUUAUCUCAAGUUAGCCUUGCAUUCCCAUACCACUUACUUACAGUGGUAAAGUUUUGUAUUGUAAUAAUAUUUGGUAUUUAAGGAA
Molecule: long non-coding RNA, 1401 nt
Organism: Pipistrellus kuhlii (Kuhl's pipistrelle)
Lineage: Eukaryota; Metazoa; Chordata; Mammalia; Chiroptera; Vespertilionidae
Exons: 2
Source: RefSeq, a predicted model, not a curated record